This 391-nucleotide ribosomal RNA is filed under the name uncultured bacterium. RNAcentral's name for it is "bacterial SSU rRNA". It matches the Rfam family "Bacterial small subunit ribosomal RNA", at positions 411 to 793 of the family's 1533-position model. The record is from RNAcentral.
AAGGCCUUCGGGUUGUAAAGUACUUUCAGCAGUGAGGAAGGUGGGUAUGUUAAUAGCAUAUUCAUUUGACGUUAGCUGCAGAAGAAGCACCGGCUAACUCCGUGCCAGCAGCCGCGGUAAUACGGAGGGUGCGAGCGUUAAUCGGAAUUACUGGGCGUAAAAGCGCAUGCAGGUGGUUUGUUAAGUCAGAUGUGAAAGCCCGGGGCUCAACCUCGGAAUUGCAUUUGAAACUGGCAAACUAGAGUACUGUAGAGGGGGUAGAAUUUCAGGUGUAGCGGUGAAAAUGCGUAGAGAUCUGAAGGAAUACCGGUGGCGAAGGCGGCCCCCUGGACAGAUACUGACACUCAGAUGCGAAAGCGUGGGGAGCAAACAGGAUUAGAUACCCUGGUAG